RNAcentral lists this ribosomal RNA (438 nucleotides) under Mogibacterium timidum. RNAcentral's name for it is "bacterial SSU rRNA". It matches the Rfam family "Bacterial small subunit ribosomal RNA", at positions 28 to 450 of the family's 1533-position model. The record is from RNAcentral. Lineage: Bacteria; Bacillati; Bacillota; Clostridia; Peptostreptococcales; Anaerovoracaceae.
GAUGAACGCUGGCGGCGUGCUAAUACAUGCAAGUCGAGCGAGAAGCUUGGAAAUGACGCUUCGGUUGAUUUUCCAAGCGGACAGCGGCGGACGGGUGAGUAACGCGUAGGCAACCUGCCCCUGACAGAGGGAUAGCCAUUGGAAACGAUGAUUAAAACCUCAUGACACCGUAGUAGCACAUGCUACAUCGGUCAAAGAUUUAUCGGUCAGGGAUGGGCCUGCGUCUGAUUAACUGGUUGGUGAGGUAACGGCUCACCAAGGUGACGAUCAGUAGCCGACCUGAGAGGGUGAUCGGCCACAUUGGAACUGAGACACGGUCCAAACUUCUACGGAAGGCAGCAGUAGGGAAUCUUGCACAAUGGGCGAAAGCCUGAUGCAGCAACGCCGCGUGAAGGAUGAAGGCCUUCGGGUUGUAAACUUCUGUUCUAAGGGAAGAAA